RNAcentral lists this ribosomal RNA (506 nucleotides) under uncultured bacterium. RNAcentral describes it as "partial 16S ribosomal RNA". It matches the Rfam family "Bacterial small subunit ribosomal RNA", at positions 29 to 523 of the family's 1533-position model. The record is from RNAcentral.
AGUGAACGCUGGCGGUAGGCCUAACACAUGCAAGUCGAACGGCAGCACAGGAGAGCUUGCUCUCUGGGUGGCGAGUGGCGGACGGGUGAGGAAUACAUCGGAAUCUACUCUGUCGUGGGGGAUAACGUAGGGAAACUUACGCUAAUACCGCAUACGACCUACGGGUGAAAGCAGGGGACCUUCGGGCCUUGCGCGAUUGAAUGAGCCGAUGUCGGAUUAGCUAGUUGGCGGGGUAAAGGCCCACCAAGGCGACGAUCCGUAGCUGGUCUGAGAGGAUGAUCAGCCACACUGGAACUGAGACACGGUCCAGACUCCUACGGGAGGCAGCAGUGGGGAAUAUUGGACAAUGGGCGCAAGCCUGAUCCAGCCAUACCGCGUGGGUGAAGAAGGCCUUCGGGUUGUAAAGCCCUUUUGUUGGGAAAGAAAUCCAGCUGGCUAAUACCCGGUUGGGAUGACGGUACCCAAAGAAUAAGCACCGGCUAACUUCGUGCCAGCCGCCGCCGUAA